AUGCACGCGCCUUUCUUCGUCGAUGUCCGAGCGAGUGAACGCAUCGCGAGGCAAUGGCUGUAGAGACCUCUCCGUCGCUGACCAGUCUCUUUAUGCUGCCAUCUAGCCUUGAUAAAGCUUCAGGAAAACAGCCGCGGAAUCGAGUGAGAGAAUCGGGGUAGGACUUGGCUACAGAGUACGUCUGCAUUACUGCUGAAAACAGGAAAAUUUCCACUGGCGUGUACUGUCGAAGCAGCUGGCCGAGGAGUGAUCGAACGGAAUCAAUGCCGAAUCACUGUUUUAACAGCUGAUGGCUUUUUGGAUAUCCGCGCCCGCGAGCGAGAGCGACUGACAAACCAGCCAGGAGGUCAUGAAUUAUUCAGUGCGUCCGUGUUGUAGAGAAAUUUAAUUCAAUCUUUUUCUAUUUUCGUUUGUUAAGCCAAGAUUUGUUCAUAUACGAAACACACUUGGAUUUCACAGUGCUUGAACAGUGGAUUUUUCUUAGAAUCAUUAGUCAUCUUAAGGUCAAGUUUAGAACAUUAGUUUAUGCUCAAAGUACUUAAUACUUUGACAGAGGAAGUCUUAGAAAGAUGUCUCAUACGAUCAGGCUUUAAAAAAGAAUAAUUUUUCACUAAUUAGUGCCAAACAGUACAUAGCUGUUCAUGUGGAAUCGUAAUCCAUCAAUUAUUUUAUAUGAACGUUUUAAGGAAAACCAUAUUUUUUCUUUGUAAACAUGUAAAAUGCGUAACUAAUUUCACAAUUUUUUCACCUGGCUUUCGAAAUGUCUGCGCACGAACAAGCCACGUUAAUAAUUUAUUUUGUUUCGUAUUUGCUCUGUCUAGUAGAACAAUAGACAGAACAAGGAACUCGGAGAAACUUUGGCGAAUUCGAGAAGCACGUGUUGGCAAAGCCAACAAUUGCGUUACACGUUAAUUUUCACAGGUGAACAAACUUCCACACACAUACGCGCUGCCGCGUGUAUACGAGCCUUCGCGACAAGGCGGGCAUUUCGAAGGGUGUUUUCUAUUUGUUCAAUAUUUUUGAGGCGAAGUUUGAUCAGCGGGCGCGCGCGCGCAAAAUCAUCAGCCGAUUGGAACGUGAAUAGACGACUAAAUAUCCAAGCGUCAGGCGCGCUUCGGAAAAAUCCGUCCCGUAUGCGCGAGCUGUUGCCUUGAAGAAACCAGUCGUUUUCUCUAUCAUUACCGAGUGGGAUUCCCCUCUUGCAGACUUGUUCAGUGUGUCUGUGUGCACGAGUCCGUUAAACCCACUUACAACGCGGAUGUAUCUUACGAGCUGCUGACGCAACGGAGCAUCGGCGUUUUUCAUUGUUCAAGUUUAAUUAGUCUUUGAAUAUUUUUAAGUUUGCAAAUUGCCUUCUUAAUGCGCACCCAAAAACAAACAAACAUUGUGGCGAGCGAUAUGAUCCCGACAAAUGAUUAUGCAUAAUAUAUCAUGUUAGGUAUUCCCCCGUUCGCGAUCCUGGGCAAUUUCGAUUACUCAUAAGAUCUGUUAACCAUUCAGGUAGCAUUUUCUUCUUCGGGUCGGAAGCUAAAGCUUAUUAGACACUUAUGCAAAGGAAUGAUGAUGCUCUUAUUUUCGCCGCAUCCGUACACUUUAGUCGACGGAACCUAGCUAGAGUGCAUUUGAAAGCUAUUUUAAAUAUUUAUUAGCGCGUGCUGUACUCCACUAGAAAGACUAUUUUAAUAUGCAAUCACUGGAAAGCCCAGUUUAUUUUAACCGGCUCUAAGCUGUUGCAUAAAAAAUGCGAAGAAAAAUAUAAGUACUCCGAAAAUAACAUUUCUGGCAUCAAUACAUUGGUUGGUGAUUGAGUUUCGUUACCGCGUAAAUGAAAUUUGGGUAUCAAUUCUAAAUCUGAAUUAACGAUUUUACGAAAAGAUAACCCAAGCACGAGAAAAUCAAGUUAAAUCCGACACGUGUAAAAUUUAUGAAAAUCGAACUCGAGUUAUUUUAUUAUCUUGUUUGGCCUACGCGUCAUCGUUAACCUUUCUACCACUUGACCGCAAACGAGACUGAUAAGGAUUUCUUCGUUCUUUCGUGUUGCGUGUACUUAUACGUCAAAUUUCAACGAUAAACAAUUCUCUAUUUUUUUAAUGUACGCAUUCAUAUCAUUCAAAUCAGUUAUCUAGCAGCAAUUAUUAAACCGAUUUGAUCCAAUAAACGAGAUGAAGUCGCAAACAAAUUUUGUUAAAUAUUAUAUAAUGUUCUCAAAUAUAUAAAAUUGCACUGUAUUUUAAAUAAUCGUUGAGAAAUUCAAAGGCCAUGUGUCUGAAAACAAGAAUUUUCGUCAAAAUAUUUUUAUCAUUGAACUUUUUUUCAUCGAUUGAACGAUGCACUUUACGAAGCCUGAACACGUUUAUUUAAUGUCAAAAACUCGAAAAUACACUGCUUCAAUUUUGCAUUCCCGACAAACAAAUUAUAUUCAUUUCUGUUUUCUUUGUGCAAUUUUGAUUUUGUUUUGCAUUGCUGUCAUUUCUUUCGCAUGAUUUACCUAUAUACAGUACAUCUCAUCAUCAAGAUAUUAGAGAAGGUGCAAAUUGAAUUCUCCUAGGUGAAUCUUAUUUUCGAGUAGAGUAUGAAAUUCUCUUUUUCAACAUUAAAAGACAACGAAGUAAAAGAAGGUGACAUCGAAAUACGCCGUACUGUUUCUAUUGCAUGUCAAUACUAUUACGAGAUGAAAGUCGAAAAAAAUACACCAUUAAGCUAAUCUGUAUAACAUGCAUUUCUGAGAUGGCUACUUGAAUUGAGCUAAUCUGUAAAUUUUCGCACAGAGACUACUUGUUAUUUCGACCAAUUAUUAUUUUAUCAUUUUUAUUACUCGAUGUACAGUGUAACAUAAAAUAACGUAUUAAUAUUAAUACUAUUUUAAUAUCUUUAUGGAUUUAAUUGUACGUUAUUUGAUGAAAAAACUUACGGCAAGUGACCACCUAGAAAUGAUCAUUAUAGCUCUUGGGACUUUCCCAUCAAACUCCUUAGUAUAAUAGUUACAUAUUAGCGCACAUGCUUCUAGAUUUACAUUAUCACUACGUUGACUUUGUAAAUUAUCGAUUUUAAAUUUGUGGCCUUGAAGCGAUAUCCAUUUGUUUCACAAUUGUAAAAUCGUUCUAUUUUACGGGAGUGAGAUUUUUAUUUUCAUUUCUUCUUUGGACAAACAAUUACUCACCUUCUGAUAAGGUUCUUAUCACAAUAGUUAGCUGUCUCCCUCACGCGUAAUAUUAGUAUCAAAGGUUUUAUACAUUUUCCCUUUAUAGUCUGGGGAGUAUGCGGCAAUUUGAAAAUAGUUUUUGAAGAAUCAUAAAAUUUAUUAUCAUCAUAUUUUUCAUUUUUUUUUCUUCAUAUCUCCCAACACAGUUAGAUAUGUUACAUUAUAAUUUUUCAGAUUAAAACGUUUAGUAGCCUAGAAAGAAAUAAAAUCAUUUUCUUUGUCCUUCUUCGAAAAUUUCGUAUGCGUCAGUUUUGGCACUCAAUUGUAAUCUUCACAAAAAAAAUACAACAGAUCAACUCGCAAAAAA
RNAcentral lists this long non-coding RNA (3509 nucleotides) under Nasonia vitripennis (jewel wasp). Its description in RNAcentral is "uncharacterized LOC116417291". Lineage: Eukaryota; Metazoa; Arthropoda; Insecta; Hymenoptera; Pteromalidae. The record is from RNAcentral.